Molecule: ribosomal RNA, 585 nt
Filed under: uncultured bacterium
Lineage: Bacteria
Description: bacterial SSU rRNA
Rfam family: Bacterial small subunit ribosomal RNA
Source: RNAcentral
CCUACGGGAGGCAGCAGUGGGGAAUUUUGGACAAUGGACGAAAGUCUGAUCCAGCCAUGCCGCGUGCGGGAAGAAGGCCUUCGGGUUGUAAACCGCUUUUGUCAGGGAAGAAAUCCUUUGAGUUAAUACCUCGGGGGGAUGACGGUACCUGAAGAAUAAGCACCGGCUAACUACGUGCCAGCAGCCGCGGUAAUACGUAGGGUGCAAGCGUUAAUCGGAAUUACUGGGCGUAAAGCGUGCGCAGGCGGUUAUAUAAGACAGAGGUGAAAUCCCCGGGCUCAACCUGGGAACUGCCUUUGUGACUGUAUAGCUUGAGUGCGGCAGAGGGGGAUGGAAUUCCGCGUGUAGCAGUGAAAUGCGUAGAUAUGCGGAGGAACACCGAUGGCGAAGGCAAUCCCCUGGGCCUGCACUGACGCUCAUGCACGAAAGCGUGGGGAGCAAACAGGAUUAGAUACCCUGGUAGUCCACGCCCUAAACGAUGUCAACUGGUUGUUGGGAAGGUUCCUUCUCAGUAACGUAGCUAACGCGUGAAGUUGACCGCCUGGGGAGUACGGCCGCAAGGUUGAAACUCAAAUGAAUUGACGG